GUACAGCUGACGAGUUUCAAAUAGGACGAAACGCGCGUCCUGGAU
Molecule: non-coding RNA, 45 nt
Organism: Schistosoma curassoni
Lineage: Eukaryota; Metazoa; Platyhelminthes; Trematoda; Strigeidida; Schistosomatidae
Source: Rfam